Molecule: transfer RNA, 74 nt
Filed under: Candidatus Buchananbacteria bacterium
Lineage: Bacteria; Candidatus Buchananiibacteriota
Description: tRNA-Arg
Rfam family: tRNA
About the family: Transfer RNA (tRNA) molecules are approximately 80 nucleotides in length.
Source: RNAcentral
GUCCUCGUAGCUUAGCUGGAUAAAGCGUUGGCUUGCGGAGCCAAAGAUCGUAGGUUCGAAUCCUGCCGGGGACA